AAGGCCCGCCUUAAGAAGACUAUAUAAAGGGAACAUAAACCCUAAAGCAAGGGAUCGACACUUCAAGACUUAGUGAUUAGAGCUAGCCGGCUAGAACUAGGGUUUAUACACCAAUCUGUUGUAGCUCAGGCUUGUUCAUCUAAUAAAAUAUCUCUUCAAGUCUAUUUCUCUAAAACUAUACACGAAAUCUAUACAAAUACCAGCCUUGUCCACCGUUCUGUGGUACUCACAAAGAUCCUACACAAAAAUCCC
RNAcentral lists this long non-coding RNA (252 nucleotides) under Brassica napus (rape). RNAcentral's name for it is "long non-coding RNA (BNAP_LNC013262)". Lineage: Eukaryota; Viridiplantae; Streptophyta; Magnoliopsida; Brassicales; Brassicaceae. The record is from RNAcentral.